GCGUGCGCACGCGAGCCGGGCCCUCGGCGCCCCCCGCAGGCCGCGAGCCCGUCCUGCGUCGUCUGCGAUCGGCCGCUCCGGGGUGUCGCCCCAGAUGUUCCCUGGGACUCCAUCGGUAGUUGCUUAAAAAAAAAAAAAAAAAAAAAAAAAAAAAAAAAAACUCUUACUGCACAAAGGCGUGGGUUUCCACGAGAACGGAAAACUUUAUGGUUACUAAAAAACUGCAUCAUCCUGCGCGCAGUUCCGAAUAAUUUGCUCAGUGAUUUGCGCACCAACACCUUGUUUGGCCUGGCUCCUCUGGAAAUGCUUCCCGCUGUUCUGCGUGCGUGGCCCUGAUGAGACCUGAUCCUUGCUCUCUGGAGGCCUUCGUUCUAGUGGGAGGGACAAAGGCAAACUCGAUGGCCCGGGGAGCACUAAGCGCUAUAAUGAAAAAGCGAGUAGAAGCUGGGCUCUGGCCCAAGAGGGCAGAUGGAGAGGCAGAAGCAGGGAGCACUCUUGGGAGCAGCUGGCAGGGGAGCACGGUGGCGGGGGGCGGGGAGCUGAGUGUACGGGAAACCCUGAGCCCCAAGAGCGAGAGGCAGGAGGCAGGUGAGGACCGGGUCAUUGGUAGCAUACUGAAGAAUAUGAUGGAAUUCAAAUAUGCUUGUGAAUAGACUUCUAGGACUUGCUGGAUGAGGAAAGGAUUAAGGAUGUCUUCUAGGAUUUCUGUCAGAGCAGCCUGGUGGGUGGAUGGUGGCGCCUCUUAGCAAGGAUGAGAAAGAUGGGGUUGUCUAAAAGACUAAAAGACUGAGUUUUCUUCCCCAAAGAAGACACAUGGAUGGCCAACAGACACAUGAAAAGAUGCUCGGCACCACUGAUCAUCGGAAAUGCAAAUCAAAACCACAAUGAGAUACCAUCUCACAACCGUCAGAAUGGCUAAAAUAAAAAAUACGAGAAACAAGUGCUGACGAAGAUGUGGAGAAAUAAGAACCCUCAUGCACUGUUGGUGGGAACGCAAACUGGUGCCCCCCACUGUGGAAAACGGUAUGGAGGUAACUUUAAAAAAUUGAAAGUAGAACUACCCUAUGAUCCAGUAAUUGCACUAGUGGGUACUUGCCCAAAGAAUAAAAAAUAUUAAUUCAAAGGGA
Long non-coding RNA from Nyctereutes procyonoides (raccoon dog), 1127 nucleotides. RefSeq lists it as uncharacterized. The transcript is spliced from 2 exons. The record is from RefSeq and is a predicted model, not a curated record. NCBI's taxonomy places the organism in Eukaryota, Metazoa, Chordata, Mammalia, Carnivora, Canidae.